Ictalurus punctatus (channel catfish) is the source of this 557-nucleotide long non-coding RNA. NCBI's taxonomy places the organism in Eukaryota, Metazoa, Chordata, Actinopteri, Siluriformes, Ictaluridae. The record is from Ensembl.
AUAAAGAAUCACGAGUAGAGAUAACAAGAACACGAGUAGAGGAUAAAAGAACACGAGUAGAGGAUAAAAGAACACGAGUAGAGACGAUAAAAGAACACGACUAGAGACGAUAAAAGAACACGAGUAGAGGAUAAAAGAACACGAGUAGAGGAUAAAAGAACACGAGUAGAGGAUAAAAGAACACGAGUAGAGGAUAAAAGAACACGAGUAGAGGAUAAAAGAACACGAGUAGAGACGAUAAAAGAACACGAGUAGAGGAUAAAAGAACACGAGUAGAGACGAUAAAAGAACACGAGUAGAGGAUAAAAGAACACGAGUAGAGGAUAAAAGAACACGAGUAGAGGAUAAAAGAACACGAGUAGAGGAUAAAAGAACACGAGUAGAGGAUAAAAGAACACGAGUAGAGACGAUAAAAGAACACGAGUAGAGGAUAAAAGAACACGAGUAGAGGAUAAAAGAACACGAGUAGAGGAUAAAAGAACACGAGUAGAGGAUAAAAGAAGACGAUAGAGGAUUAAAAGAACACGAGUAGAGACGAUAAAAGAACACGAGUAGAG